This 1582-nucleotide ribosomal RNA is filed under the name Colponema vietnamica. Its description in RNAcentral is "SSU rRNA". It matches the Rfam family "Bacterial small subunit ribosomal RNA". The record is from RNAcentral. Lineage: Eukaryota; Colponemida; Colponemidia.
UAAAUUUAAAUUAAAAUAUAGUUUUAGAUGAAUAGUAUUUUUUUAUGAGGUAUAAAUAUAUAUAAACAAAUAUAGAUUUAUUAUAUAAUGGAAUUUGAUCCUGGUUCUGGGUGAACGCUGACAGAGCGCCUAACACAUGCAAGUUGAAUGUAUACUGUAUAGUAUAAAUAGCGAACGGGUGAGUAAUAUUUAAAAAUCUACCUAUUAAAAUAAACUUAAAAUGUUUUGAAAAGGUUUUUGAUAAUCGUUAAUAGAUGAGUUUAAAGUAGAAUUAGGUAGUUGGUAAGGUAAUGGCUUACCAAGCCGAGAAUUCUUAGCUGAUCUGGGAGGAUGCAAGCCACAUGAGAACUGAGAUAAGGUCUUAACUUUAGUUAAAGGCAGCAGUGAGGAAUUUUGGACAAUGGGCGAAAGCUUGAUCCAGCGACUCUGUAAUUAGGAUUAGCUUAAGUGCGGAAGCCUAAUGGGUGUCAACUAAUCUUUUUAAAUACAUAAUGACAUGAUUUAAAAAUGUUUAGCCCUGGCUAAUUUCGUGCCAGCAGCCGCGGUAAGACGAGGAGGGCAAGCGUUAUCCUUCGUGACUGGGCGUAAAGGGUAUGUAGACGGUUUGCUAAGUUUUUUGUAAAAGGUAAUGUCAAGCAUGAGCAAGCAAGAAAUACUAGUAAGCUAGAAUAUAUUGAAGUUAAUGGUAUUAUUAUAGUCGGGUUGGAACAUGUUAUUAUAAUAAGACAGCCGUAAAUGAAGAUAAUUAGCUGAUAUAUUAUUGACGUUGAGAUACGAAGGCAUGGGGAGCAACCGAGAUUAGAGACCUCGUUAGUCCAUGCAGUAAAAUAUGAAUGUUAAUUUGUUGGACAUUUUUAAAAUGAUUCAAUUUUGUAGCUAACGCAUUAAACAUUCCGCCUGGGGAAUACGAUCGCAAGAUUGAAACUUAAAGGAAUUGACGGGGGCUUAAAUACACGGUGGAGCAUGGGGUUUAAUUCGAUAAUCCGCGCAAAACCUUACCAGUUCUAGACAUGCAAUUUAUAAAAAAUUUUUUUUUAUCGAAAAAUUUUGUAAAUUAUCAGGUGUUGCAUGGCUGUCGUAAGUUCAGGUGUCGUGAGAUGGUAGUUUAAUUACUAGAUACGAGCGCAACCCUUAUUUAAUGUUAUAUUAGAUUAAAGACAGAAGGUGGCUCGCCAAAGGCGAGGCCUUAGGAAGGAGAGGAUUACGGUAAGUCCGCAUGGCCCUUACGAACUGGGCUAUAUCCGUGCUACAAUAGAUACGACAAAGAGUUGCAAUAAUGUGAAUUUAAGCUAAUCUCUUUAAAAAUAUCUUUAGUACAGAUUGUUUUCUGAAAUUCGAAAACAUGAAGGAGAAAUCGUCAGUAAUCGUGAAUCAGCACGUCACGGUGAACAUGUAAAUGGGCUUUGUACACACCGCCCGUCACGUCUCGAAAGUUCGUCUUAUUGGAAGUGGUAAUCAGAAUUAGAUUUAAAUUUUUUUUAAAUUUGCUAAUAAUGCUCUUAUUCCGAAUAUAAGGCUAAUAAUUGAGAUGAAGUCGUAACAAGGUAGUCGUACGGGAACGUGCGGCUGGACGGAAAACUAA